This 467-nucleotide ribosomal RNA is filed under the name uncultured bacterium. Its description in RNAcentral is "partial 16S ribosomal RNA". It matches the Rfam family "Bacterial small subunit ribosomal RNA", at positions 28 to 506 of the family's 1533-position model. The record is from RNAcentral.
GACGAACGCUGGCGGCGUGCUUAACACAUGCAAGUCGAACGGAAAGGCCCUGCUUUUGUGGGGUGCUCGAGUGGCGAACGGGUGAGUAACACGUGAGUAACCUGCCCUUGACUUUGGGAUAACUUCAGGAAACUGGGGCUAAUACCGGAUAGGAGCUCCUGCUGCAUGGUGGGGGUUGGAAAGUUUCGGCGGUUGGGGAUGGACUCGCGGCUUAUCAGCUUGUUGGUGGGGUAGUGGCUUACCAAGGCUUUGACGGGUAGCUGGCCUGAGAGGGUGACCGGCCACAUGGGGACUGAGAGACGGCCCAGACUCCUACGGGAGGCAGCAGUGGGGAAUAUUGCACAAUGGGCGGAAGCCUGAUGCAGCAACGCCGCGUGCGGGAUGACGGCCUUCGGGUUGUAAACCGCUUUCGCCUGUGACGAAGCGUGAGUGACGGUAAUGGGUAAAGAAGCACCGGCUAACUACGU